Molecule: ribosomal RNA, 252 nt
Filed under: uncultured bacterium
Lineage: Bacteria
Description: partial 16S ribosomal RNA
Rfam family: Bacterial small subunit ribosomal RNA
Source: RNAcentral
CGUAGGUCCCGAGCGUUGUCCGGAUUUAUUGGGCGUAAAGCGAGCGCAGGCGGUUAGAUAAGUCUGAAGUUAAAGGCUGUGGCUUAACCAUAGUACGCUUUGGAAACUGUUUAACUUGAGUGCAAGAGGGAGAGUGGAAUUCCAUGUGUAGCGGUGAAAUGCGUAGAUAUAUGGAGGAACACCGGUGGCGAAAGCGGCUCUCUGGCUUGUAACUGACGCUGAGGCUCGAAAGCGUGGGGAGCAAACAGGAUU